Sus scrofa (pig) is the source of this 703-nucleotide non-coding RNA. NCBI's taxonomy places the organism in Eukaryota, Metazoa, Chordata, Mammalia, Artiodactyla, Suidae. The record is from RefSeq and is a predicted model, not a curated record.
UUGGAGAAGAGAGGGUUUCAGGAAGAAAGGUAAGACUCCUCAGGCUGAAGACCACAGGGAGUGAGCAGAGGGGACCAAGAGGUGCCUUGAAGGUUUCUGAUGCUGUCAUUGGAACUAGGGUCCUUCACAUGCUGGGAGCAGAAGUCAGGUGAACAAAGGAGGAAGUCUGUCUGCUCAUCACACUGAUGGGUGUUUCUGAAGCUCUCCGGAAUGUUAUGUGUGAAACUACCUGGACAUGUGUGACUUCUUUGAUUCUUCCAGGCUGUGCCUCCAGGCUCCAGGGCACUGACACCUCCUCUGGUGCUCCUGCCUCCGUCCCCUCUUGAGUGUGGGCUGUGACUCCUUUCUCACAAGUACAACAUGGCGAGGUUGGCAGCGGUGUGUGUGUGGAGGCUUCUUAAGGAUGCAACGAGGCAAAUUUGAACAGACUCAAACUGCUCUACCAGUGUCUUCAAAGAAGAAUGUAAACUGAUUUUUUCCUAAUUUAUAUUUCCUUAUCUCAAAAACGUUUUUAAUUAGUAAAAACAAAGGACACAUUUAAAAUCAGGUAAAAAUCAUGUUUUUCUUUUAAUUGACACCAUUUCCUCUCUUGGCUGCUACUUUGGUAAUAAUUAGGUCCCCACCUCUCAAGAACACUGCCUCUGAACAGGCUGAGGCACAGCCAGUGUGAACACAAGGCCCCAAACCAGGGCUUUUGGAAUAA